Molecule: ribosomal RNA, 1242 nt
Filed under: uncultured prokaryote
Description: partial 16S ribosomal RNA
Rfam family: Bacterial small subunit ribosomal RNA
Source: RNAcentral
GCAAGUCGAACGGAAACAUGUCUAGCUUGCUAGAUGAUGUCGAGUGGCGGACGGGUGAGUAAUGCUUGGGAACUUGCCUUUGCGAGGGGGAUAACAGUUGGAAACGACUGCUAAUACCGCAUAAUGUCUUCGGACCAAACGGGGCUUCGGCUCCGGCGCAGAGAGAGGCCCAAGUGAGAUUAGCUAGUUGGUGAGGUAAAGGCUCACCAAGGCGACGAUCUCUAGCUGUUCUGAGAGGAAGAUCAGCCACACUGGGACUGAGACACGGCCCAGACUCCUACGGGAGGCAGCAGUGGGGAAUAUUGCACAAUGGGGGAAACCCUGAUGCAGCCAUGCCGCGUGUGUGAAGAAGGCCUUCGGGUUGUAAAGCACUUUCAGUUGUGAGGAAAGGGUAAUGGUUAAUACCCAUUAUCUGUGACGUUAGCAACAGAAGAAGGACCGGCUAACUCCGUGCCAGCAGCCGCGGUAAUACGGAGGGUCCGAGCGUUAAUCGGAAUUACUGGGCGUAAAGCGCACGCAGGCGGUUUGUUAAGUUAGAUGUGAAAGCCCCGGGCUCAACCUGGGAACUGCAUUUAAAACUGGCAGGCUAGAGUCUUGGAGAGGGGAGUGGAAUUCCAGGUGUAGCGGUGAAAUGCGUAGAUAUCUGGAGGAACAUCAGUGGCGAAGGCGACUCCCUGGCCAAAGACUGACGCUCAUGUGCGAAAGUGUGGGUAGCGAACAGGAUUAGAUACCCUGGUAGUCCACACCGUAAACGAUGUCUACUAGCUGUUUGUGGAUUUAAUCCGUGAGUAGCGCAGCUAACGCGAUAAGUAGACCGCCUGGGGAGUACGGCCGCAAGGUUAAAACUCAAAUGAAUUGACGGGGGCCCGCACAAGCGGUGGAGCAUGUGGUUGCGUUCGAAGAACGCGAAGACCUUACCUACACUUGACAUGCAGAGACUUUCCAGAGAUAGAUUGGUGCUCGGGACUCUGACACAGGUGCUGCAUGGCUGUCGUCAGCUCGUGUCGUGAGAUGUGGGUAGUCCCGCACGAGCGCAUCCUUGUUCUUAGAUGCAGCUUAAGUGGGCACUCUAGAGACUGGCGGUGACAACCGAGAAGUGACGACGUCAGUCAUCUGGCCUUACUGUAGGCUACCACCGGCUCAUGGCGUUCCAAGGAAGCGGACGGGGUGUGGGGGGGACCAUAAAGUGCGAUCCGGAAUGAAGUUGGACUGCACUCUCUGAAAUCGGAUCCCAGCAAUACG